GCGAGCGUUGUCUAGCCUGGUAGGAUCUGGCCUUCCCAAGGCCAUGGCCCGGGUUCAAAUCCCGGCGCUCGCA
Molecule: transfer RNA, 73 nt
Filed under: Microcaldota archaeon
Lineage: Archaea; Nanobdellati; Microcaldota
Description: tRNA-Gly
Rfam family: tRNA
About the family: Transfer RNA (tRNA) molecules are approximately 80 nucleotides in length. Their secondary structure includes four short double-helical elements and three loops (D, anti-codon, and T loops). Further hydrogen bonds mediate the characteristic L-shaped molecular structure. tRNAs have two regions of fundamental functional importance: the anti-codon, which is responsible for specific mRNA codon recognition, and the 3' end, to which the tRNAs corresponding amino acid is attached (by aminoacyl-tRNA synthetases). tRNAs cope with the degeneracy of the genetic code in two manners: having more than one tRNA (with a specific anti-codon) for a particular amino acid; and 'wobble' base-pairing, i.e. permitting non-standard base-pairing at the 3rd anti-codon position.
Source: RNAcentral